Zea mays is the source of this 204-nucleotide non-coding RNA. NCBI's taxonomy places the organism in Eukaryota, Viridiplantae, Streptophyta, Magnoliopsida, Poales, Poaceae. The record is from Rfam.
AUACAUUUCUCGGUCUUUUAGCUAAGAUGAACUGUAACAUUUGUUCUUACUAUCAAUUUAAUAUCUGAUAUAUGAAUAAUAUAUUCACUUUGGUAUUAAAUUUAUUUGUUAUGAGUACUUUUUGUGGGGAGGCUCUAGGGAUGGCAACGGGGAUUCCCCCGUCGGGGAUUGGCUCCCCAUCCCCGUCCCCGCGGGAGAAAAAUU